Molecule: ribosomal RNA, 605 nt
Filed under: Coleosporium sp.
Lineage: Eukaryota; Fungi; Basidiomycota; Pucciniomycetes; Pucciniales; Coleosporiaceae
Description: partial large subunit ribosomal RNA
Rfam family: Eukaryotic large subunit ribosomal RNA
Source: RNAcentral
UAAGCGGAGGAAAAGAAACUAACAAGGAUUCCCCUAGUAACGGCGAGUGAAGAGGGAAAAGCCCAAAUUUGUAAUCUGGCUCUUUUAUAAGGGUCCGAGUUGUAAUUUUGAGAACUGUUUUCUGUGCUGGACCAUGUACAAGUCUGUUGGAAAACAGCAUCAUUGAGGGUGAUAAUCCCGUACAUGAUAUGGACUACCAGUGCAAUAUGAUACAGUCUCUAAGAGUCGAGUUGUUUGGGAAUGCAGCUCAAAGUGGGUGGUAAAUUCCAUCUAAGGCUAAAUAUAGGUGAGAGACCGAUAGCAAACAAGUACCGUGAGGGAAAGAUGAAAAGAACUUUGGAAAGAGAGUUAACAGUACGUGAAAUUGUUAAAAGGGAAACAUUUGAAGUUAGACUUGUUAUUGUUGGUUCAGCUUCUUUUUUUAAUUAGGAGUCUAUUCCAAUGGUUGACAGACCAGCAUCAAUUUUUGAGUGUUAGAUAAGGGUCAUGAGAAUGUGGCAACUUUGGUUGUGUUAUAGCUCUUGGCUUGAUAUAAUGCUUAGGAUUGAGGAACGCAGUGAGCUUUUUAUCAAGUGGAUUCUCUUUUGAAUCUUCAUCACUACGGA